Macaca fascicularis (crab-eating macaque) is the source of this 2050-nucleotide long non-coding RNA. Lineage: Eukaryota; Metazoa; Chordata; Mammalia; Primates; Cercopithecidae. The record is from Ensembl.
GAGAAAGGUACAUAGAGGCAAGAGAGGAAAUUCUGGAGAAAUGAAAUCAGUGUAUUUUAUUAUUUGUAUGUUUUUUGUUUUGUUUUUUUUGCAAAGAGCUUUUUGUAAGUCUUGAUUUUUAUUCACUAGCUGGGUAUCUGGUAUAAGUCACUCCAUAUUCCUGACUCUCGAUAUGUAAACUGAAAUAUGGAACCGUCAUUGUGAAACAUGUUUUACUGGCCUGGGUGAGAAGCUGCAUGACCAUUAUUCCUCACAUAUUAAUUGCCGUGAUUAAGAAUGGUUACCAUAUAGUAAGCAUUUCUAGUAUGCCCAGAAAUGUGCAUAUACACUCCAUCACCUGAAUUCUCCAUGACCAAUACCAUUUUAUGGUUGAAUACAUUGAAGACACUUGAUUAAGCACAGGACCACAAAUUAAAGUACAACAAUAGACCAAAGACAAGAUUUGAAAUAAGAUCUAAUUGACCCACAAAACUGAAACUUUUGUUGUUCUGUUGGCCUUAUGAUUUUUAAGUCUCUCUUGUAUGUGAUCUGUUUCUAAAAGACUGGCCUCUGAGAUUAUGUUGCCUCGGGCUAAACAUCAGAUAAGGUGACAGUGAGUUAUUUAUAAAUCUAACAAUAAGCAUUCGUGGAUGGGGGAAGAUAAAUGGCUAUAGAGAAGAAAGGGAUCUGUUUCAUGCGUGGUUGUAAACCGAGUGUGAACCCGUGUGUUUUGUGCGGGAGAGUUUGUUCUCACUGAUGCUGAUCUACUGCAGGAGGGCGUUUCCUCAUCAUGCUUAGCCAUUGCGCCUCACCACAUACUGCCCUUCAGCCUUGCCUUUCUUGCAGAGAUAUAUUUGCUGGGUUGGGGGCAAAGCACAGGCACUGUGUGGGAUUGCAGGUGACACCUGCGCUCAUCCCUGAAAGAAAAGGCCCCACCAGAAGAUGGGAGUGCGUUUUAAUAAGACGGCGGGAUGCAGAAAGGAAAAUCAGAUUCAGCAGCAGGAAAGCCUGUUUGCAGGUGGUAAUUACCCUAUUUAGGGUAAGACACUGACCUUUGAUAGAUAAUGACAAAGACCAGGACAUUGCUUAAGCCUUAUAAUGCCUUAUGCUUUUAAAAAAAUAAUUACAAUAAGGAAUGAAUUAACAGCAUUUACAGUGACCUGGAUGAGAUUGGAGACUAUUAAGUAACUCAGGAAUGGAAAACGAAACAUUGUAUGUUCUCACUGAUAUGUGCGAGCUAAGCUAUGAGGACGCAAAGGCCUAAGAAUGAUGCAGUGGAUUUGGGGGACUUGGAGGGGAAGAGUGGGAAGGGGUUGAGUGAUAAAGGACAACAUACGUGGUGCGGUGUAUACUGCUCGGGUGAUGGGUGCACCAGGAUCUCACAAAUCACUGCUGAAGAACUUGUUCGUGUAACCAAAUACCACCUGUACCCCAAUAACUUAUGGAGAAAAUAAAUAAUAAUUACAAUAGGAUCUUGGGCACAAAUCAAGGCAGGUUCAUUUCUCUUUUCUUCAGAUAAGAGGUUAAGAGGGAGAGAGAUGGUAGGUAGGUAGGUGGUUCGAUCGAUGGAUUGGAAUGAACUGCCUUGAGUUCCACUGAUUUUUAAAUCACCCCUGCUUAAUGUCAUAAUUAGUUCUAGAUAAUGCAGUAGAGCCAAAGUCCCAUUAUAUUGCUCAGGAAAGGAGACAAAGGCUGGGCUCAGAAAGCAUGCCAAUCUGCACACCUUCAGGGCAGUCAUAAAUAAAGGUUUUGUUUGUUUGCAUUUUUACACAUAAUUCCCUAUCAUAGGUGCACUAAGUUCUCAAAGAUGCCGAAGGUCUGGCCAGUGAUGCUACAAGUCUGACUGUAAUAAAUGUUCAUGAAAUACAAAACGCUGGGUGUAUCAUAUUCAACAGACAUCCUGAAGUAAGUGCCCCAUGAGGGUCUCAGAAUUGGAUGGCUUGUCGCUUCCGUUGUUUGUGAAAGAGUAGAGGAAAGAAUGUUUGCUGAAAAGCCAAGAAUUUAUUUAACAGUCGGUUGGCAGAAGUAAGAUGUAUUUAUUUUCUUAUUGGAGGGGGAAAAAAAAAAAAAA